This 182-nucleotide non-coding RNA is filed under the name Paenibacillus sp. UNCCL117. RNAcentral's name for it is "Bacterial small subunit ribosomal RNA". It matches the Rfam family "Bacterial small subunit ribosomal RNA", at positions 1 to 183 of the family's 1533-position model. Lineage: Bacteria; Bacillati; Bacillota; Bacilli; Caryophanales; Paenibacillaceae. The record is from Rfam by way of RNAcentral.
UUAAUGGAGAGUUUGAUCCUGGCUCAGGACGAACGCUGGCGGCGUGCCUAAUACAUGCAAGUCGAGCGGAUCUGUUCCUUCGGGGAUAGGUUAGCGGCGGACGGGUGAGUAACACGUAGGCAACCUGCCUGUAAGAUCGGGAUAACUACCGGAAACGGUAGCUAAGACCGGAUAGCUGGUUU